UUCUGAUUCAAACUGGUGUUUAUUUGCAGUACAUGUACAAUUGGUAUCAUAGGAUCCCAGCGCAUUCUUUGUAGUAGUGCACUUCUCAGCGUCUGUAUGCCGUUUAGUGCACACAGACCUAGCAGUUUAUAACUAACUGUUGGGCUGGCAUUGCUAGCAAAUAUUACAUACCAGCACCACAUCUUAACACGUUGGUAAUUCAUGAUAUUUUGCAGAUGCUUUUAAAUGGGACUUACCAGGAUGAUCAAAAUCCAGUGGCUAAACAUAACAACUUGCAAACAUCAGCCACAGAUUUUCAUUUUUGGUAAGAUGGAUUAUGUAACAUUGACAAUAUAAGCCAAAGAAAAAAAAAAAAAAAAAAGAUUAAAAACAUGAAUUUAUUUGACAGUACCAAACAUGUCUCUACCUCUGGGUACAUAAAACUAAUAAGUCUAGAUCUAUUGAUUACAACGAGCAUGACAGCAGUGGGUAUUGCACAUGAACUGUAAAAAAUGAGUACAAAGUAAAAUUAAACAAAAAAGAUCAAAUUUACAUUUCAAUUCGUUGACCUCUAGGUGAAGUAUACAUAAUGUACAAAACUAUACGUUGCCUACUAUUGACAAUAGUUCACUUUAGAAAUAAAUAAAUAAUGAAAUCCGUAUUAACAUCCAUCUUACGGGCAGCUACGUCGCCAAAAAAAAAAAAAAAAAAAAAAACACACUGUAGAAAUUUAGAGUGAGGUAGUUCAUCAAAGCCUACUUUGAUUUGGAUUCUAACAUUUUUGAGAGAUGAGAUAAAAGCAAAUGCGAUGAAAAAUCUAAAGUUAAAUUCCAUUAACUUUCCUAAAGAGAGGAAAAGAAAAAUUAAGAGCACUUAACAAACACGGAUAAAACUGAAUGUCUGGGAUGCAACUCAAAUGAAAGAAUAUGUACGCCAAUAGUUACGCAAACUCAAACCUUCGGUUCCUACACCUCCCAGCUAUCCCGCAUGUACAUUCCAUAGCACUGCCUCAUGGGAAAUGUAGUUCCCACCUACACCAUUCGAUGCAAUAUCUUGCAUAUUUCCAUAAACAAAAUAAAGCUGCAAACCAUAUACACAUACCAAAAAUGUUCCAAUUUGCUAUUACUUUGAUGAAAGACCUUGCUUGAGGGUACGUCCCUUUACAGAUCAUCUUCUCAACAUGCCCCGACCCUUCAAUCGACAUCAUACAUCCAAUGCACUACAAAAAUAGACACUCCAACAUGACUCAGGCACUUUCUCCACUUUGAAAGCUAAAUAAAAACUGUAAUUUAACCCAAUGAUGAAUGGCAUUUCCAAAUUUAGCGAUGGAUUUAGUUCAUAAGGAGGAGCAGAGUUUACACUACAUACACUAGUACUGUAAACACAUAAUUACAUUCCAAAACACAUUUUUCUAAACAUCAGAAUAAAUCUGAUACUGAUGGGCUAUUUUUUAGCGUUAGACAGGCAUUAAAAAGCAGUCGUUGCAUUUUGGACCUCCAAUCUAAUACGUCUUUAUUCAUUUAGCACGAUUGCUCCAUCCAAAAUGACGCUAUUAAAAAUCACCCCCGGAAGCAGUUUUUUAUUUGUCAUCGUGUAAUGAAUAAGAUCUCAUUGGCAGAUGCAGUUUGUUAGUAAAUUCAAAAGUACUUGUACAAAGAGUACAAAACCCUGUUUACACCUGAUAUUAAGAUGCGUUUUCGCCAAUCUAAUCACAAGCAGACGUCGCUAAAUACAUGCGUGAAAGGGGUGUUAAAUGUCUCGAGCUUGUCCACUUUUGAGCACUUCCAGAGGUAGUCGAAAACAUCCACUAAAGACCGCCGGCUCUCCGCUGACUGGGCUCAUUCUUAAACAUUACGAAGUUCAUUUCCUAUCCGUUACCCGGCAACAUCAGAAUAUUAAAUUAGAUUUAAAUUCCGUUACAAUGGAUAAGUGUAUGUGACCCUUUAAAAAUAGCCUAAAUGUUUUUCUUUUUUCAGCUUUUUUCAGUUUUGCAUGCGCAUAAACAACAGAAGAAAAAAGAAUAAAAUGACAUAUGAUAGGAAUAAUAAUUAGAGAUCGACCGAUAUAUCGAUUUACCAAUAUUUUCCCCGAUAUUUAAGCAUUUUCCAUAAUCGGAUAUCGGUUUUGUAAUAUCGGAUUCAUCAACAUACAGAACUACCACAUUUUGCUAUAAGUUUGAUUGCAUAAUUGCUGUUAAUAGUGUUAAUCGUCUGUUUGUUUAUGUCUUUUAUUGAUUUUUCUGAACAUUUCUGCCGUAUGCACAUAAACUGAAGUCAUCACUGAUAAGCUACUACUAAAUAUUGUAUAAACUUAAUUUUCUGUAAAGUUGCUUUGCAAUGAUUUGUAUCGUAAAAAGCGCUAUACAAAUAAACUUGAAUUGAAUUCACCGAUACACAGGAUCGCCAUUACAGCGCGUCUGAGGGGAGACUAGACAACAAAAACCGCAUCCAGGUACCUGAUUUGCUGUAGUUAGUCAACUUUAUUAAACAUAUUUAUGAACAAAUUAGAUGCAUUAAAAUAAAUGCUUGAUAUGUAGUUUAUGCAGCUUGGCUCUAAGAAAUAGAGAUCAACUCACGGAGGCAUGUAAAAUAAUCCUUCAAGUCCUGUCCCAAUAAAGACGUAACUUUGCCUGAAUUAAAUAACAUGCAGCCAGUAAUGAGCACAUGUUGUAAAUAAAAGCGCUGAAUUGAAUUCUCUCUCUGUUGUAUAUUUGCUCAUCAUAGUCUCGUGAAGCCGCUUUCAUAUUGCCGUUCACGGAAAUAUUCCAGCACGGCCACCGCAUGUAACUUUUAACAAGAUUCACUUGUUUAAAACACCCUAAAUUGUAUUAACAUUUACUUUAUAACCAUUAUUUUUUUGCUAAUAAACAUCUAAAUAAAUACAACUCUAUGGAAAUGAAUUAGCCUAUUUAUUAUCUCCGUGAGCGAUCACUAUUAUUAACAUUAUCCAGUGAAUUAUUAUUAACUCUGUAGCUAUUAAACGGCUUAUAAACCUGCUAAAACUGUAGUUUAAAAUGAAGUUGAUAUGACUCCUGUCAUUUAUUUAUUUUCUCCAUCCUACAUUUAUUUUGUUUAUUGUUAGUAGUGUUGUUGCCGUUGAUGCUUUUUUAUAAAUAAAAUGUGUUUUACUGUUGUAAUAUGAAGAUUAAAUUUAACAUGAAAGACUGCAAAUUUUUAACACUUUUUUUUAAAAAGAUGACUGAAAAGAGGAAAAAACUAAAUGAAGUAUGUUCUUACUUCACUCAGUCAAUUAUGUACUUCACAACAGUAAAUAAAUAUCGGUUCUGCAUAUCGAUUAUCGGGCAAACAUGCAAAUAAUUGGUAUUGGUUAUAAAACAAUUAAUAUCGGUCGAUCACUAAUAAUAAUAAUAAUAAUAAAACAGGCCUACACCAAAUUAGUUUCAGUUAAAUACUUAACGAAUUAACAUAACAAAAGGAACAAAAAAUAGAAAAGAAGUGUUUUGUUUAAUCUUUACAGCUGCACCACAAGUUUGAGGAAACAGAGGCGGCUGAAAGCGCAUACUGUUUGCUUACCAAAUAUCACAGAUUAUUUAAUUUUUUCCUGCAGUGAUAUGGAAAAUAUCUGUGAUCACGCCGGAGCCUCUCACGCACACAACAUAUCAUUUAUAGCACUGCUAGCUGUUUAUAGGCCUGUGUUAUUAACAAUGAAUGCCGUUAUAAUUUGUGUUUUAUUUUAUAAUUAUACACUACCAGUCAAACAGUUUUG
This is a long non-coding RNA of Cyprinus carpio carpio, 3705 nucleotides long. Lineage: Eukaryota; Metazoa; Chordata; Actinopteri; Cypriniformes; Cyprinidae. The record is from Ensembl.